Molecule: ribosomal RNA, 902 nt
Filed under: uncultured archaeon
Lineage: Archaea
Description: bacterial SSU rRNA
Rfam family: Archaeal small subunit ribosomal RNA
Source: RNAcentral
UUCCGGUUGAUCCUGCCGGACCUUACUGCUAUCGGGAUGAGAUUAAGCCAUGCAAGUCGUGCGCUCUUAAGCUAUGUUGAGAGCGCGGCGAACUGCUCCGUAACACGUAGUUAACCUACCCUCGGGAUGGGGAUAACCCCGGGAAACUGGGAUUAAUACCCAAUAGAUGAUUAUGCCUGGAAUGGUUUAUCAUCGAAAGAUUCUGGAAACAUGCUUACAGCGUCGCCCGAGGAUGGGACUGCGUCCGAUCAGGUUGUUGGUGGGGUAACGGCUCACCAAGCCUAUAACCGGUACGGGCCCUGAGAGGGGGAGCCCGGAGAUGGAAACUGAGAAAAGGUUCCAGGCCCUACGGGGUGCAGCAGGCGCGAAACCUCCACAAUGCGCGAAAGCGUGAUGGGGUUAUCCCGAGUGCCGUCCGAUGAGGAUGGCUUUUCAUCGGUGUAAGGAUCCGAUGGAAUAAAGGGGGGGCAAGACUGGUGUCAGCCGCCGCGGUAAUACCAGCCCCCUGAGUGGUAGGGACGAUUAUUUGGCCUAAAGCGUUCGUAGCCGGCUUAUCAAGUCUUUUGUUAAAUCCAGCGAUUCAAUCGUUGGGCCGCAAAAGAUACUGUUAUGCUAGAGGACGGGAGAGGUCGACGGUAGUCCAGGGGUAGGGGUGAAAUCCUAUAAUCCUUGUAGGACCACCAGUGGCGAAAGCGUCAGACUGGAACGCGCCUGACGGUGAGGGACGAAAGCCAGGGGAGCGAACCGGAUUAGAUACCCGGGUAGUCCUGACCGUAAACGAUGCAUACUAGUGAUGGUACGGCCAUGAGCCGUAUCAGUGCCGUAGGAAACCGUUAAGUGUGCCGCCUGGGAGUACGGUCGCAGCUAAACUAAGAUGCGGGGAGCACACAGGGUGAGCUGCG